RNAcentral lists this ribosomal RNA (745 nucleotides) under uncultured Arcobacter sp. Its description in RNAcentral is "bacterial SSU rRNA". It matches the Rfam family "Bacterial small subunit ribosomal RNA", at positions 578 to 1321 of the family's 1533-position model. Lineage: Bacteria; Pseudomonadati; Campylobacterota; Epsilonproteobacteria; Campylobacterales; Arcobacteraceae. The record is from RNAcentral.
GGUAGUUAAGUCAGAAGUGAAAUCCAAUAGCUCAACUAUUGAACUGCUUUUGAAACUGAUUACCUAGAAUAUGGGAGAGGUAGAUGGAAUUUCUGGUGUAGGGGUAAAAUCCGUAGAGAUCAGAAGGAAUACCGAUUGCGAAGGCGAUCUACUGGAACAUUAUUGACGCUGAGACGCGAAAGCGUGGGGAGCAAACAGGAUUAGAUACCCUGGUAGUCCACGCCCUAAACGAUGUACACUAGUUGUUGUGAGGCUCGACCUUGCAGUAAUGCAGUUAACACAUUAAGUGUACCGCCUGGGGAGUACGGUCGCAAGAUUAAAACUCAAAGGAAUAGACGGGGACCCGCACAAGCGGUGGAGCAUGUGGUUUAAUUCGACGAUACACGAAGAACCUUACCUGGACUUGACAUAGUAAGAACUUUCUAGAGAUAGAUUGGUGUCUGCUUGCAGAAACUUAUAUACAGGUGCUGCACGGCUGUCGUCAGCUCGUGUCGUGAGAUGUUGGGUUAAGUCCCGCAACGAGCGCAACCCUCGUCAUUAGUUGCUAACAGUUCGGCUGAGAACUCUAAUGAGACUGCCUACGCAAGUAGGAGGAAGGUGAGGACGACGUCAAGUCAUCAUGGCCCUUACGUCCAGGGCUACACACGUGCUACAAUGGGGUAUACAAAGAGCCGCAAUACGGUGACGUGGAGCAAAUCUCAAAAAUAUCUCCCAGUUCGGAUUGUAGUCUGCAACUCGACUACAU